UUUUUUCUGUUUGGCAAUAGGCUCGGGCCUCAUGGCAUUUUUCUAUUAUUAGACAUCGAAAUGUGUGAUGACAUCGAAAUGUAGUAUUCUUUUUAUUAGUUUCUCUGGAAUAAGGAGAAUUUGUAGUGAUGUUAUGUCCUGUUUAUAUCAUUCUAGAAACCAAUAUUUGGAUAACAGUUGGGUGAAGGAGAUUUGCUCACAAUCUUGGUGGAUUGGGUGGGAUGACAAGAUGGAGGUUGUGCAUGCAGGAUAUAUUUGACAAAGUAAUGAACAUGGUUUCUUAAUGGUAUUUUGGCAAAAAAGUUGAUAAAUUAACAUCUGACCAGUGUUUUAAAUGUAGUUCAUGUGGCUGCAUACGUGACCGCAUUGUAAUAGGUUGGGCCACAUCGUGAGCCAUCAAGCAUCUAUAUAGGCCAUGUUGGUGAUAUAUGUUGCAUGGUGCAUAUAGAUUGUGAUGAUGUUUGAUGGGACAAUCAUUUACUAAAUCAACAUUUUGAGUGUCUUUUUAAUAAACUAGUAGCUUAAAUACUACAUGUUUUGCUUUAGCAAGAUAUUUUUAACUGCAGUUGCUAGUCGUGCAUCCUUAUUGCAUGUUGUUAUUGUUCUUAUUUGUAAAUUUCUUGGUUGCACUGAUUUUCAGCAUAGUUCAUAGUCAAUUGUUUUAGGUUCACAUUUUAUACUAUAGCAACUUGUUCGAGCGCAUAGUUUAAUUUUCAUUUUUUUACUUAUUCAUUUUCUUAUUUUUACUUAUUUAUUUUUUAUUUUUUAUUUUUAUGUUUUAAUAAAUCUAUUUUGACCUAGAUAUUUAUAAAACGCCUAGUGCUUUAAUGCCUAUGUAUGCUAGGGGUGAAAGUGCACAGCAUUUGACUAAUAUCUAUGUUUGUAUCCAUGUCUAUAGCCAUAUCAAUCGAAGAAAAAUAUAUAUGGAUAUGGAUAGAUAACUAUUUGAUCUGUAUCUGAAUAUGCUAUUCUAUUUGUAAUCCUAUUUAAUCUUAUAUAGAACUCAUGAACUUCGAAGUAAAAUAAGUGACAUUAUUGUCAUGUUAUAAGUUGAUUUACCGUCCACUUACUAAUAUCUUUGAUUUUGUGGUCAUAAAGUUAAACUAUCUGGUGUGUAUCUAUAUUUGCAUCUAUACUUUCAAUAUCUAAUUUGUAUCCAUAUCUGUUUAAACCAAAUAUGAAUAUAAAUUUUUGCAUCUGACUAACAUCUUUAUUU
This 1216-nucleotide long non-coding RNA is filed under the name Phoenix dactylifera (date palm). RNAcentral's name for it is "long non-coding RNA (PDAC_LNC015419)". The record is from RNAcentral. Lineage: Eukaryota; Viridiplantae; Streptophyta; Magnoliopsida; Arecales; Arecaceae.